GCGAAACCCUGAUGCAGCAAUGCCGCGUGAGUGAAGAAAGCCCUAGGGUCGUAAAGCUCUUUUAUUGGGGAAGAAAAUGACCGGGCCCGUAGAAUAAACACCGGGUUACUAUUUUCCCACAACCGCCGGUAUACAUAGGGGGCCAGCGCUGUUCCGAAUUACUGGGCGUAAAGGGCGCUCAAGCGGGUUAGUAAAUUGGAGGUGAAAGCCCCGGGCUUAACCCCGGAAGGUAUUUCCAAACUUCUAAUCUUUAAAGGGUUAGGAGCCAGCCGAAUUUCUUGUGGUAAAGGGAAAUUGCUUUAUUUUUGGAGGAA
Molecule: ribosomal RNA, 314 nt
Filed under: uncultured marine bacterium
Lineage: Bacteria
Description: bacterial SSU rRNA
Rfam family: Bacterial small subunit ribosomal RNA
Source: RNAcentral